UUUCCGUAGGUGAACCUGCGGAAGGAUCAUUAAUUAUUCAUCGGAAGAGUCCAGGUGGGCUGUGGAGGCAUGGGUUAACCAUGCUUACCACACGCCCCUUCUUCAUGAACAUCCCUUCUGUGUAUCAAACUUCUGUUGCUUCCCGCAUGGCGUGGCCUGCAAGGGUUACCCUGCGGGGAGGAUAUCAUAAACUCUGGUUGUUGUAUUCGUAGUCUGAGUGGUAAACACAAUAAACAAGUUAAAACUUUCAACAACGGAUCUCUUGGUUCUCGCAUCGAUGAAGAACGCAGC
Molecule: unclassified non-coding RNA, 291 nt
Filed under: uncultured fungus
Lineage: Eukaryota; Fungi
Description: sequence contains ITS1, 5.8S rRNA gene
Rfam family: 5.8S ribosomal RNA (bases 243-291)
Source: RNAcentral